RNAcentral lists this ribosomal RNA (427 nucleotides) under uncultured prokaryote. RNAcentral's name for it is "bacterial SSU rRNA". It matches the Rfam family "Bacterial small subunit ribosomal RNA", at positions 355 to 776 of the family's 1533-position model. The record is from RNAcentral. RNAcentral also lists the same sequence under 1 other name.
UCUAGAGGCUUCGGCAAUGGGGGCAACCCUGACCGAGCGACGCCGCGUGCGGGAUUGAAGGCCUUCGGGUCGUAAACCGCUGUCAUUGGGGAAGAAUGCCCGGAUGGUGAAUCCGGGAGGGACGGUACCCGAGAAGGAAGCCCCGGCUAACUCCGUGCCAGCAGCCGCGGUAAUACGGAGGGGGCGAGCGUUGUUCGGAUUUACUGGGCGUAAAGGGUGUGUAGGCGGCUGCGCAAGUCUGGUGUGAAAUCUUCACCGCUCAACGGGAAGCGUGCACUGGAAACUGCGCAGCUCGAGUAUGGUAGAGGCAAGCGGAAUUCCUGGUGUAGCGGUGGAAUGUGUAGAUAUCAGGAAGAACACCGGUGGCGAAGGCGGCUUGCUGGGCCAUCACUGACGCUGAGACACGAAAGCGUGGGGAGCAAACGGG